Molecule: ribosomal RNA, 497 nt
Filed under: uncultured bacterium
Lineage: Bacteria
Description: partial 16S ribosomal RNA
Rfam family: Bacterial small subunit ribosomal RNA
Source: RNAcentral
GAUGAACGCUGGCGGCGUGCCUAAUACAUGCAAGUCGAGCGAACGGACGAGAAGCUUGCUUCUCUGAUGUUAGCGGCGGACGGGUGAGUAACACGUGGAUCACCUACCUAUCAGACUGGUAUAUCUUCGGGACACCGGCGCUAAUCCCGGAUAAUAUUUUGCACCGCAUGGUUCGAUAGUGAAAGACGGUCUUUCUGUCUCUUAUAGAUGGAUCUGCGCUGCAUUAGCUAGUUGGUACGGUAACGGCUUACCAAGGCUACGAUGCAUAGCCGACCUGAGAGACGGAUCGGCCACACGAGAACUGAGACACGGACCAGACGCCUACGAGAGGCAGCAGUAGGGAAUCGUCCGCAAUAGGCGAAAGCCUGACGGAGCAACGCCGCGUGAGUGAUGAAGGUCUUCGGAUCGUAAAACUCUGUUAUGAGGGAAGAACAUAUGUGUAAGUAACUGUGCACAUCGUGACGGUACCUAAUCAGAAAGCCACGGCUAACUACGUG